This 368-nucleotide ribosomal RNA is filed under the name uncultured Glomeromycotina. RNAcentral's name for it is "eukaryotic LSU rRNA". Lineage: Eukaryota; Fungi; Glomeromycota. The record is from RNAcentral.
UUGAAAGGGAAACGAUUGAAGUCAGUCGUGCUGGCGCGAAAUCAACCCUCUCGUCGAGAGGUCACAUGGCGUGGCGAGCCUCAAAACCGUCACGAAGCGUGAACUCUUGGCGAAAAGGAGCACUUUUUUGUCCGCUGGUUAACAUCAAUUUCGAACGUCAUAAAAAGGCUGGAGGGAUGUGGCUCCUUCGGGAGUGUUAUAACCUUUAGCGGAAUGUGGUGGUCGGGAUUGAGGAUUGCAACGAAUACCUUUAGGGCAGUUCCUUCUGGUCUCUUGUUGACGUUCAGAUGGCGACAGCUUGCUGACGUUGUUUGAAUAGUUGGCGAAUAGAUUGGAAUGUGAAUUAAUUCGUUAAGGAUGUUGACGUA